GUACAGAAAAUAGAUUUAAUGCUGCUCAUCCUAUGGCUACCAGAAAGAGAAAAUAGGAAAGGUUUUUUUUUUUACGUUAGUUAAAGUCUUGUGACUUACUAGGUUAACUAAUUUUAUAGUGUAUGGUUUGCAGACAUAACAUCAUUAACUAAUAUGGUUUGUUAUAUAUGUUGAGAACACAAUACAUUUUCAUCCUUGGAAAUUUAAUAUAUAGUCUUAUUUUUUAUUUUAAAUUUUAAAAAUCACUUGCUAAUAAUAUACUAGCUUUACUCAGUUGGGAAGUUUAGAAGAAUGUAAUUUCUAAAAUGAUGCCAUUAUAAAAUUAAUAUUUCUGUAUGCUAUCCAAUGGAUAUCUAGAUCCACACAGAAAAGAAAUAACUUUUAAUGUGUUAUUCAUCACACUAUAUUAAAUCAUAAAAUAUUUUCAUAAAUAAUCACAAUCUGCAAUCAACUGAAAACUAAGGAUCUAAAUUAAAAUUUGCUAAUGGAGUAAGGCAUAUUAAGAACCUCAAGGAAGAAAACUGCUGGGCACUAGUUUAUUACUUCCAGUUUCAUUAAUUGCUGACCAUCUUUGGUUGGUUCAUGCUCCCCAAGAUAACUGAGGAAACGGCACAUAAUACAAAUAAAUUGAGCAAACAGAAAUCCUUAACUUCCUGCUAGGUGUUCUUCAUCAGUGUUAAUUCCUAGAGCACCAAACACAACACAAAUAUUCCAAAAUGCUAAAGAGGAAAAAUCUAAACUCUACAUUCAAAUGAAUGAAUUACAUAGAACAAUAUGCUUUGAUAACAUAUCAAAGCAAUGGCUAGUUUCAACAAAACAGCCAGUAAAAUCAAAGAAAAAGUUAAAGCUAUGAAACUUAAUUGAAAGUAACUGUUUAGUUUGUAUCACUUGAAUUGUUUCACUAUGUUAGAAUGUUAAGGGCAAUGUGUGUUGGUAUGGUUUGGUCUUCAUGGGUUUGCUCUGUUCUAAAAGAAUAAGGAAGUUAAUACAUUAGAUCUCUACACAUGAUAGAAACAAACGAAUAACCCUUUGGAAAGAAGAUUUUAAGUAUUUGUGAUCCAAAGAAUAAUAAGUAUUAUACUCAAUAUUGUUUUUGGUUCUGAAUUAUGACUCACAAGGAGCUGGAAUAUUUGUGUGUGCGGUAAGAUUACUGGACGUGAAUACCAGAGUUCCAGAAGCAACUCAUCAGACCCAGGGAGAGGAAAUGGUAAAGGGAAAAAGAAAAUGUGAAGUUCUUGAAAAAUAUGAUGGACUGAUACUGAUGAAGAGGAAGCUUUGACAGAAAAAUAAACACAGUAGGGUGGUAGAAUAGACUCAUCAGAAAUCUAAAUUCAGAAUUCAAGAACAUCCUUUAUAUUCCUAGAAUGUUGAAAGAGACCUCAACAAAGAACCCAAGUAUUUACUCCCUAACCAGAAGAAAUGAACCACUCCUUGGCAUGCAUCAGAAUUACCCAGGAACUUGUCUUAAAAUAUACUCUCUCUGGCUCCACCUGGAGUGAUUCUCAAUUAUUCUGUGAUGAUGCUUACAGUUCUGUGUGUUCACUCUGAAAACUGUCUUGCUGAGGGCCCCGACACUGAGCCUUCAGGCUUUGUCAUUGUCACAUAAUUCCUAAUAAACAACCAAACAAGAAAUCGCUUGAG
This is a long non-coding RNA of Ochotona curzoniae (black-lipped pika), 1641 nucleotides long. RefSeq lists it as uncharacterized. Lineage: Eukaryota; Metazoa; Chordata; Mammalia; Lagomorpha; Ochotonidae. The transcript is spliced from 2 exons. The record is from RefSeq and is a predicted model, not a curated record.